This 580-nucleotide unclassified non-coding RNA is filed under the name Hevea brasiliensis (rubber tree). Lineage: Eukaryota; Viridiplantae; Streptophyta; Magnoliopsida; Malpighiales; Euphorbiaceae. The record is from RNAcentral.
UUGGAAGCUCCAAAGGUGGUCGCCCUAUUUUUUGGCACAAUAUGAGAGAAGAACCUGUUAUCUACAUCAACAGAAAACCAUUUGUGCUCCGUGAAGUUGAAAGACCAUAUAAGAACAUGCUGGAGUACACGGGAAUUGAUCGUGAGAGAGUGGAGAGAAUGGAAGCUCGAUUGAAGGAAGAUAUCUUACGAGAAGCUGAACGGUAUGGAGGUGCUAUAAUGGUCAUUCAUGAAACAGAUGAUGGACAAAUUUUUGAUGCAUGGGAACAUGUGAAUUCUGAUUCUGUUAAGACCCCACUUGAGGUCUUCAAAUGCCUAGAGGCUGAUGGGUUUCCCAUUGAGUAUGCACGAGUGCCGAUCACUGAUGGUAAAGCUCCCAAAAGUUCUGACUUCGACACAUUGGCAGCAAAUAUUGCUUCUGCUUCCAAGGAUACUUCUUUUGUUUUCAAUUGCCAGAUGGGGAGGGGAAGGACAACCACUGGCACUGUAAUUGCUUGCCUUCUAAAACUUAGAAUAGAUUAUGGGCGACCAAUUAGAGUCCUAGUUGAUGAUAUGACCCGUGAAGAGGUGGAUAGUGGCAG